Macrobrachium nipponense is the source of this 1815-nucleotide long non-coding RNA. RefSeq lists it as uncharacterized. NCBI's taxonomy places the organism in Eukaryota, Metazoa, Arthropoda, Malacostraca, Decapoda, Palaemonidae. The transcript has 3 exons. The record is from RefSeq and is a predicted model, not a curated record.
UUAAGUGUGAUCCAGGAGAAGGCUAGAGCGCUGCAUGAGGCAGUAGUGAAAAAGUUUGGCGAAGGCAGUGCUGGUGGUGAAUUUUCCGCGAGUAGAGGUUGGUUUAACCGUUUUAAGGCUCGUGCAAAUUUGCAUAAUGUGAAGCUGCAAGGUGAAGCUGCUAGUGCUGAUAGCGAAGCAGCAGGUAGUUUUCCAGGUGGUUUGGCCGAGAUAAUUAAGGAUGGUGGUUACACGGCUGACCAAGUCUUUAAUGUGGAUGAGACUGGUUUAUUUUGGAAAAGAAUGCCAAAUCGAACGUACCUUUCCAAGGAGGAGAAGUCAGCACCUGGCCAUAAAGCUGGAAAGGAGCGACUGACUUUGCUGUUUGGGGCCAAUGCAAGUGGCGAUUUGAAACUGAAGCCCUUGCUGGUGUAUUUGGCCGAGAAUCCCAGGGCUUUCAAGGGCAUUUUCAAGAGUCAACUCCCUGUGAUUUGGAAAUCAAAUAAGAAGGCUUGGGUUACCUUGAUGGUCUUCGAAGGUUGGUUCAAUGACCAUUUCGUGCCAGCAGUGGAACGGUAUUUGACUUCGAAGGGUCUGCCUUUUAAGGCCCUCUUAGUCCUGGACAAUGCCCCUGGUCACCCUUCAAAUUUGAGCGACAUGCACCCUAAUGUGAGGUUGGUGUACCUCCCACCCAAUACCACAUCGCUGAUACAGCCAAUGGACCAGGGAGUAAUAGCUAAUUUCAAAGCUUACUACCUUAGAAGGACCAUACGUUUUGCUUUGAGGGCCAUAGAAGCUAACAAGGAGUUGACACUGAAGCAAUUCUGGAAGGGCUAAAACAUUGCUGAUGCAGUGAAGAAUAUUGCAAGUGCUUGGGACGAGGUGAAGACGACCACUUUAAAUGGGGCCUGGAAGAAACUGUGUCCACAGUUUGUGCACAGUUUUGAAGGCUUUGACCAGGCAGAAGACGUCGAGACUGUGACGAGGAAGAUCGUAGGGCUAAGCAAGAGGCUGAAACUAGAUCUUGAACCUGAUGAUGUAAAAGAGCUGCUGGCAUCCCAUGGAGAGGAAUUGUCAGCAGAGGACCUGCUUGAACUUGAACAACAAAUGAUUGAGGAGGAGGAGGCGGCACCAAAGCCAAAAGCCAGGUCAUUAACUGUGAAAGGCUUGUCAGAGGGUUUUACUCAUCUGGAGAGAGCCUUGGCUUCUUUUGAGGCAGAAGACCCUAACGUUGCCAGGUUUGACAAAAUAAAACGUGGAAUGUUGGACUUAGUAACUUUCUACAAGGAGACCCUGAAGGAGAAGCAGACGAAGAGAAGUGUGCAGUCCAGGCUUGACACUUUCUUUCACAAGUCUCCAGUACCACCACCUCCCACUCCUAGUCCUGGUAAGGAAUUCUGAACUGUUUUACUAAUUUAUGUGUUUACACAGUGUACAUAUAAAAUGUGUUAAUUUUUUAAUGUAACAACUAAAUGUUAGAGUAAAUUGUAACUUCAUUAAUUUUCAUCAUUUGUAAUUUUAUUGCAGAAGUGGUGACAGUUCCAGAUCCCCCUGUACUACCUGUGACAGUUCCAGAUCUCCCUGUACUACCUGUGACAGUUCCAGAUCUCCCUGUACUACCUGUGACAGUUCCAGAUCCCCCUGUACCUGGACCCUCUGUAGCAGCCCGUCCACCUGUACUACUACAAUCAGACACCUUUGAUAGUGACAGCGACCCAGAUGACCCUGAGCCUUUCCAUGGUUUUGAUGCCUCGCCCUAUUCAUCAGAUCUAGAUGUUCCCUCAUCAGAGCCCAAAUCAGUUGAUACGAGUAGUAUCACCUCUCCAACUCCUUCAG